RNAcentral lists this ribosomal RNA (786 nucleotides) under uncultured bacterium. RNAcentral's name for it is "bacterial SSU rRNA". It matches the Rfam family "Bacterial small subunit ribosomal RNA", at positions 558 to 1342 of the family's 1533-position model. The record is from RNAcentral.
GCGUAAAGAGCUCGUAGGCGGUUUGUCGCGUCUGCUGUGAAAUCCCGAGGCUCAACCUCGGGCCUGCAGUGGGUACGGGCAGACUAGAGUGCGGUAGGGGAGAUUGGAAUUCCUGGUGUAGCGGUGGAAUGCGCAGAUAUCAGGAGGAACACCGAUGGCGAAGGCAGAUCUCUGGGCCGUAACUGACGCUGAGGAGCGAAAGGGUGGGGAGCAAACAGGCUUAGAUACCCUGGUAGUCCACCCCGUAAACGUUGGGAACUAGUUGUGGGGUCCAUUCCACGGAUUCCGUGACGCAGCUAACGCAUUAAGUUCCCCGCCUGGGGAGUACGGCCGCAAGGCUAAAACUCAAAGGAAUUGACGGGGACCCGCACAAGCGGCGGAGCAUGCGGAUUAAUUCGAUGCAACGCGAAGAACCUUACCAAGGCUUGACAUAUACGAGAACGGGCCAGAAAUGGUCAACUCUUUGGACACUCGUAAACAGGUGGUGCAUGGUUGUCGUCAGCUCGUGUCGUGAGAUGUUGGGUUAAGUCCCGCAACGAGCGCAACCCUCGUUCUAUGUUGCCAGCACGUAAUGGUGGGAACUCAUGGGAUACUGCCGGGGUCAACUCGGAGGAAGGUGGGGAUGACGUCAAAUCAUCAUGCCCCUUAUGUCUUGGGCUUCACGCAUGCUACAAUGGCCGGUACAAAGGGCUGCAAUACCGCGAGGUGGAGCGAAUCCCAAAAAGCCGGUCCCAGUUCGGAUUGAGGUCUGCAACUCGACCUCAUGAAGUCGGAGUCGCUAGUAAU